AGUGGGGAAUAUUGGACAAUGGGCGAAAGCCUGAUCCAGCAACGCCGCGUGAGGGAUGACGGCCUUCGGGUUGUAAACCUCUUUCAGCAGGGACGAAGCGCAAGUGACGGUACCUGCAGAAGAAGCACCGGCCAACUACGUGCCAGCAGCCGCGGUAAUACGUAGGGUGCAAGCGUUGUCCGGAAUUAUUGGGCGUAAAGGGCUCGUAGGCGGUCCAUCGCGUCGGGAGUGAAAAGCUGGGGCUUAACCCCAGUCCUGCUUCCGAUACGGGUGGACUAGAGGUAGGCAGGGGAGAACGGAAUUCCUGGUGUAGCGGUGAAAUGCGCAGAUAUCAGGAGGAACACCGGUGGCGAAGGCGGUUCUCUGGGCCUUACCUGACGCUGAGGAGCGAAAGCAUGGGGAGCAAA
This 407-nucleotide ribosomal RNA is filed under the name uncultured Marmoricola sp. RNAcentral describes it as "bacterial SSU rRNA". It matches the Rfam family "Bacterial small subunit ribosomal RNA", at positions 353 to 772 of the family's 1533-position model. The record is from RNAcentral. Lineage: Bacteria; Bacillati; Actinomycetota; Actinomycetes; Propionibacteriales; Nocardioidaceae.